RNAcentral lists this ribosomal RNA (483 nucleotides) under uncultured bacterium. Its description in RNAcentral is "partial 16S ribosomal RNA". It matches the Rfam family "Bacterial small subunit ribosomal RNA", at positions 30 to 507 of the family's 1533-position model. The record is from RNAcentral.
UUGAACGCUGGCGGCAGGCCUAACACAUGCCAGUCGAGCGGAUGAAGGGAGCUUGCUCCUGGAUUCAGCGGCGGACGGGUGAGUAAUGCCUAGGAAUCUGCCUGGUAGUGGGGGAUAGCGUCCGGAAACGGGCGCUAAUACCGCAUACGUCCUGAGGGAGAAAGUGGGGGAUCUUCGGACCUCACGCUAUCAGAUGAGCCUAGGUCGGAUUAGCUAGUUGGUGGGGUAAAGGCCUACCAAGGCGACGAUCCGUAACUGGUCUGAGAGGAUGAACAGUCACACUGGAACUGAGACACGGUCCAGACUCCUACGGGAGGCAGCAGUGGGGAAUAUUGGACAAUGGGCGAAAGCCUGAUCCAGCCAUGCCGCGUGUGUGAAGAAGGUCUUCGGAUUGUAAAGCACUUUAAGUUGGGAGGAAGGGCAGUAAGUUAAUACCUUGCUGUUUUGACGUUACCAACAGAAUAAGCACCGGCUAACUUCGUG